Molecule: ribosomal RNA, 449 nt
Filed under: uncultured bacterium
Lineage: Bacteria
Description: partial 16S ribosomal RNA
Rfam family: Bacterial small subunit ribosomal RNA
Source: RNAcentral
AACGAACGCUGGCGGCAUGCCUAACACAUGCAAGUCGAACGAGAUCUUCGGGUCUAGUGGCGCACGGGUGCGUAACGCGUGGGAAUCUGCCCUUUGGUUCGGAAUAACAGUUGGAAACGACUGCUAAUACCGGAUGAUGACGAAAGUCCAAAGAUUUAUCGCCAGAGGAUGAGCCCGCGUAGGAUUAGCUUGUUGGUGUGGUAAAGGCGCACCAAGGCGACGAUCCUUAGCUGGUCGGAGAGGAUGAUCAGCCCCACUGGGACUGAGACACGGCCCAGACUCCUACGGGAGGCAGCAGUGGGGAAUAUUGGACAAUGGGCUAAAGCCUGAUCCAGCAAUGCCGCGUGAGUGAUGAAGGCCUUAGGGUUGUAAAGCUCUUUUACCCGGGAUGAUAAUGACAGUACCGGGAGAAUAAGCUCCGGCUAACUCCGUGCCAGCAGCCGCCGUAA